UCCGUGCACUUUGACCAUACA
Molecule: non-coding RNA, 21 nt
Filed under: Arabidopsis thaliana (thale cress)
Lineage: Eukaryota; Viridiplantae; Streptophyta; Magnoliopsida; Brassicales; Brassicaceae
Source: RNAcentral